Molecule: ribosomal RNA, 274 nt
Filed under: uncultured bacterium
Lineage: Bacteria
Description: partial 16S ribosomal RNA
Rfam family: Bacterial small subunit ribosomal RNA
Source: RNAcentral
AUACGAAGGUCCCAAGCGUUAUUCGGAAUCACUGGGCGUAAAGAGUACGUAGGCGGUUUGGUAAGUCAGGUGUGAAAUCCCGAAGCUCAACUUCGGAACUGCAUCCGAUACUGCCAGACUUGAGUAAGGGAGAGGCAGGUGGAAUUCUCGGUGUAGCAGUGAAAUGCGUGGAUAUCGAGAGGAAGACCAAUGGCGAAGGCAGCCUGCUGGACAUUGACUGACGCUGAGGUACGAAGGCUAGGGGAGCGAAAGGGAUUAGAAACCCCGGUAGUCC